CGUAUCCGACACCGACGCCUGCCCCCUCCCCGGCCACGGGCCAAACCCGGUGGUGGUCGGUUCGCCCAAUGU
This 72-nucleotide small RNA is filed under the name Pseudomonas sp. 8AS. RNAcentral describes it as "Pseudomonas sRNA P10". It matches the Rfam family "Pseudomonas sRNA P10". The record is from Rfam by way of RNAcentral. Lineage: Bacteria; Pseudomonadati; Pseudomonadota; Gammaproteobacteria; Pseudomonadales; Pseudomonadaceae.